UACGUAGGGUGCGAGCGUUAAUCGGAAUUACUGGGCGUAAAGCGUGCGCAGGCGGUUCGUUAAGUUCGUUGUGAAAGCCCCGGGCUCAACCUGGGAACUGCAAUGGAAACUGGCGGGCUUGAGUGUGGCAGAGGGGGGUGGAAUUCCACGUGUAGCAGUGAAAUGCGUAGAGAUGUGGAGGAACACCGAUGGCGAAGGCAGCCCCCUGGGUCAACACUGACGCUCAUGCACGAAAGCGUGGGGAGCAAACAGG
RNAcentral lists this ribosomal RNA (253 nucleotides) under uncultured bacterium. RNAcentral describes it as "partial 16S ribosomal RNA". It matches the Rfam family "Bacterial small subunit ribosomal RNA", at positions 524 to 776 of the family's 1533-position model. The record is from RNAcentral.